This 542-nucleotide ribosomal RNA is filed under the name Erosa erosa (pitted stonefish). RNAcentral describes it as "partial 16S ribosomal RNA". The stretch from base 191 to 542 matches the Rfam family "Bacterial large subunit ribosomal RNA", at positions 568 to 1050 of the family's 2925-position model. Lineage: Eukaryota; Metazoa; Chordata; Actinopteri; Perciformes; Synanceiidae. The record is from RNAcentral.
GAGCCAAACAGCUAGCCUCACAGAGAAAAGCCAACAAAUAACCAUUAAUAACCCCUAAUGUAAUAAAACGGAUCAAGCAAACCAUUUUUCCCCUUUAGUAUAGGCGAUAGAAAAAGAAUUAUAGAGCAAUAGAGAAAGUACCGCAAGGGACUGCUGAAAGAGAAAUGAAAUAACUCAGUUAAGCCUAAUAAAGCAGAGAUUUAGACUCGUACCUUUUGCAUCAUGACUUAGCUAGUGUAACCUAAGCAAAGCGCACUUUAGUUUAUUACCCGAAACUAAGUGAGCUACUCCAAGACAGCCUAUUUGAUAGGGCCAACCCGUCUCUGUGGCAAAAGAGUGGGAAGAACUUUGAGUAGAGGUGAUAUACCUAUCGAACUUAGUUAUAGCUGGUUGCCUAAGAUUUGAAUAGAAGUUCAGCCCCUUUUAUUCUUCAUUUACACCAGUUUUACUUUAUUAAACGCAAAGAAUCUUAGGGUGUUAUUCAAAAGGGGUACAGCCCUUUUGAAACAAGAUACAACUUUUGCAGGCGGAUAAAGAUCAUA